This 471-nucleotide ribosomal RNA is filed under the name uncultured Acidimicrobiales bacterium. RNAcentral's name for it is "bacterial SSU rRNA". It matches the Rfam family "Bacterial small subunit ribosomal RNA", at positions 8 to 490 of the family's 1533-position model. The record is from RNAcentral. Lineage: Bacteria; Bacillati; Actinomycetota; Acidimicrobiia; Acidimicrobiales.
AGAGUUUGAUCAUGGCUCAGGACGAACGCUGGCGGCGUGCUUAACACGUGCAAGUCGAACGAGGUCCACGGUGUAGCAAUACACCUGAAGACCUAGUGGCGAACGGGUGCGUAACACGUGAGGAACUUGUCCCGGUCUCUGGGAUAACAGUUGGAAACGACUGCUAAUACCGGAUGACGUCGGAGCAUCGCAUGGUGCGCUGACGAAAGGGUUACUGGAUCGGGAGAGCCUCGCGGCCUAUCAGCUUGUUGGUGGGGUAACGGCCCACCAAGGCAUCGACGGGUAGCUGGUCUGAGAGGAUGAUCAGCCACACUGGGACUGAGACACGGCCCAGACUCCUACGGGAGGCAGCAGUGGGGAAUCUUGCGCAAUGGGCGAAAGCCUGACGCAGCAACGCCGCGUGCGGGAUGAAGGCUCUCGGGUUGUAAACCGCUUUCAGCAGGAACGAAAAUGACGGUACUGCAGAAGAAG